GCGAACGGGUGAGUAACACGUGGGCAACCUGCCCAAAAGAGGGGGAUAACACUUGGAAACAGGUGCUAAUACCGCAUAACCAUAGUUACCGCAUGGCAACUAUGUAAAAGGUGGCUAUGCUACCGCUUUUUGGAUGGGCCCGCGGCGCAUUAGCUAGUUGGUGGGGUAAAGGCUUACCAAGGCAAUGAUGCGUAGCCGAACUGAGAGGUUGAUCGGCCACAUUGGGACUGAGACACGGCCCAAACUCCUACGGGAGGCAGCAGUAGGGAAUCUUCCACAAUGGGCGAAAGCCUGAUGGAGCAACGCCGCGUGGGUGAAGAAGGUCUUCGGAUCGUAAAACCCUGUUGUUAGAGAAGAGAGUGCGUGAGAGUAACUGUUCACGUUUCGACGGUAUCUAACCAGAAAGCCACGGCUAACUACGUGCCAGCAGCCGCGGUAAUACGUAGGUGGCAAGCGUUAUCCGGAUUUAUUGGGCGUAAAGGGAACGCAGGCGGUCUUUUAAGUCUGAUGUGAAAGCCUUCGGCUUAACCGGAGUAGUGCAUUGGAAACUGGGAGACUUGAGUGCAGAAGAGGAGAGUGGAACUCCAUGUGUAGCGGUGAAAUGCGUAGAUAUAUGGGAGAACACCAGUGGCGAAAGCGGCUCUCUGGUCUGUAACUGACGCUGAGGUUCGAAAGCGUGGGUAGCAAACAGGAUUAGAUACCCUGGUAGUCCACGCCGUAAACGAUGAAUGCUAAGUGUUGGAGGGUUUCCGCCCUUCAGUGCUG
Molecule: ribosomal RNA, 765 nt
Filed under: uncultured Bacillota bacterium
Lineage: Bacteria; Bacillati; Bacillota
Description: bacterial SSU rRNA
Rfam family: Bacterial small subunit ribosomal RNA
Source: RNAcentral